This 240-nucleotide long non-coding RNA is filed under the name Prunus persica (peach). RNAcentral's name for it is "long non-coding RNA (PPER_LNC006221)". Lineage: Eukaryota; Viridiplantae; Streptophyta; Magnoliopsida; Rosales; Rosaceae. The record is from RNAcentral.
UCGAGGGCAACCUUGUCUGGGGAGACGAGAACGAGGCCGGCCCCACACCCCUGGGCAUUAGAAGAGCCGUCCACAAAUAAGGUCCAUAGGGGCUGGGUCAGGUCGAAAGUGCUUUUGCUGGCGGUUUAGUCCUGGCUCGAAGGGAGAUUGGGUUCGGUUAUGAGCUGGGUAGCUGCGGAAGCUUGGGGCUCCGUGAAUUCGGAUAAGAAGUCAGCAACGGCCUGCCCCCUUAUAGCCGGG